RNAcentral lists this transfer RNA (70 nucleotides) under Glanycus foochowensis. RNAcentral describes it as "tRNA-Glu". Lineage: Eukaryota; Metazoa; Arthropoda; Insecta; Lepidoptera; Thyrididae. The record is from RNAcentral.
AUUUAUAUAGUUUAAAUAAAACAUUACAUUUUCAUUGUAAAAAUAAAAUUAAUUACUAUUUUUAUAAAUU